Molecule: non-coding RNA, 29 nt
Filed under: Rattus norvegicus (Norway rat)
Lineage: Eukaryota; Metazoa; Chordata; Mammalia; Rodentia; Muridae
Source: RNAcentral
UAGAUGGAUGUCAACCAGCAAGCGGCAGG